RNAcentral lists this long non-coding RNA (2852 nucleotides) under Nicotiana tabacum (common tobacco). RNAcentral describes it as "long non-coding RNA (NTAB_LNC014297)". Lineage: Eukaryota; Viridiplantae; Streptophyta; Magnoliopsida; Solanales; Solanaceae. The record is from RNAcentral.
GAUUUUAGAGAUUGGAGAGAUUGGAAAAAAUCUAAGAAAACUAAGAAAAGAGAACGGCUGAAAACUGAAGAAAAAAUCACUGUUUCAUUGCAAGUCUUUUGUGAUUUCUUAAGUUCCUACUCCCUGAAAAGGUGUUCUGGUUAAUAUAGCUCAAAUGGAUUGCAAUUGGGUGUUUGAGUAUCGGUCUUGAAGUUUGCUUGGUCAUUUGCUCGAGUGAGGUUACCUUUUAUUUUGUUCAAACUCAAUUUGGGUGAGCUGGUGUUGCUGGUGUUUGUUGGCUGUUGUUCUGUUGUUGAUUUCCUUCCUUCCCUCUUAUUUACUUUCCCAGGUACCUUCUUAGAUCAUGACUGAGGAGUGAUUUCGAAUAUGUAAUAGAGUGGAAUUUCUGUCAAAUGAAGAUUGCAUUCAAAGAUGAUUUUUCCCUGUUCCUUUACUGUUUUCCAUGUUCUGUAAUUAGUCUUUGAACUAUAAUUGUCAAUAAGGUUCUCUUUUCUCUGAAAUGGUGUAUGUGAAAGUAACCUGCAGUAGUGUGUUACAUUUGCAAAUAACUAUGGACUGAGAUUGAGGUGUUCAAAUGGUCAAAACUGUCCUAUUUCUUUUGAUUCCAUGGUCGUAACUUAGAAGCAUGUGGAUGUAGAUCAUAAAUCUAUUUGUUCAUAGCUUAGUUCCUAAAUCCCUGAAUCCUUGAAGUUAUUUCUCCUGUUUAUGUUACUCUUUCAACAUUAGUGAUGAAUCUGUUGUUGCAUUUGCUACUUAAGUUUUCUUAUUUCUUUCUAAUUAUAUGCUGUGAAAGUUGAAACUAUGCUCUUAAAAGUUUAGUACCAUGUUGCAUUUGGCGGUAGGAAAUCUAUGUAGUAGAUACAUAUAUGGUUUUGAAAAUGGUCUGAUAUGAAAAAAGGGAACGAUGGUCGAAAUUUUUAUUUUUUUUAGAUUAAAGGUAUACUGAUUUGAUAUGGGUUGUGAAUAAGCUGGUUAAAUUGACAUUAGUGUUUAAGUUUCAGAAUCUUUAGCUAGCUCAAAAGUAAAGUUAGUUCAAUUACAUGUUUUCACAUAGUCUUGGUUACCUUGCACGUAAAUGAUUUUUGCACAAAUGUUUGGCUUUAAAAAUGGUAUCCAAUGCUGGCUCAACCGAAGAAAAGUCCAUUAUGGGCUCAAUUGCACGGCCCAUAUCGAUGAAGUAUUCGCUGCUUCGAUUGGGCUCAUUUUGGGCCCAAGCCUGAAGGACAUCGUGAAUGGAUUAUUUACCCUUUUGUUAUGUGGUUUUGUUUGUUUCAUCAUAUGCAGCUCUUUCAUUUAGUUGCUUUAACGUGGAAGUAAUUUUCUUUAGACAAUUAUUUGCUUUAAUACCAUGCCGGUUAGUUGUUUUAUAGGUUUGAACAAUUAAUUAGAAUCCCUUUAAGUCUUUCCUAAUUAACUAGUUUUUUCUAAAAUGGAUCUGAGGUGAGUCAUAGUAGAUAGUAAAUAGUUUAUGGCCCUCUGAACAUUAGUUUGAAUAUCCUUUCAAAAUGGAAUCGAGGUGCGCCGCGCCAAAUAAAAUCUCAAAUGCAUGGCCCUCAUUUAAUUAAUCUUGAAUCCUUAGAACUCGAGGAGUGCCAUUUAGUAAAUUUCCAUGGCCCGCGCAAAAUUAAAACACGUAGUUGCUUUAGGCGCGUAUUUUAAUAAUAUUACCUUCCUAAAUUCGGGUGUGCAUUUCAUGUGACCCAAAUCCAAAUCUUAAAACAUUGAAUAAAAUGUUCUUCGGAUCACUGGUGCAUUUCAUAUGGCGCGAUCCAAAGACAUGUUUUAAACAACGUUCAAUCUUCUUUAAAAUUAAUUAAAAGCGGUUAAUAGUUAAAAUUGAACCAUAGGCUAAAACAUGUAUCAAAAUCAGAUAAUAGGCCAAUUAUGAUAGUUUAAGUGACCGUUCUAGAACCACGAAAUCUGGGGGUGCCUAACACCUUCCCUAGGGUUAACAGAAUUCCUUAUUUAGAAUUUCUGGUUCGCAGACUUCAAAAGGAAAGUCGAAAUCUUCCUCGAUUUGGGAUUUAAAAAUAAAUCGGUGGCUUGGGAAACUAGAAAACAAACCUUCCCAAGUGGCGACUCUGAAUUUAAUGAAUAAAUAAUCCCAUUUCGAAUAAUGUCACUUAAAGUGGAAAAACUCUCAUGUACUACCUUCGGGUACUGUAAAAAGGAGGAGUGACACUGUGUAUUUACAUUGGGACUACGGAUGCGGGAUUCCGGUAGAUCCCCCUUGUCUAUUUAUUUGGGACUACAGAUAUGGGAUUUCGGUAGAUCCCCCUGCACAGUUAUAUGGAACUACAGGACUGCACCAGGUAGAUUUCCUUAGUACUAGGUAUUUAUAUUUGGGACUAUGGAUCGGGAUUCCGGUACAUCCUCGCGCACUGAUAGUUGGACUACGGGGCAGGAUCCCAGGAGAUCUACUCGAUAGGUGUAAUUGGGAAUACUGGAUGGUAUCCUGGAAGGUACUCCGGUUGUUACCUCUAUAUUGAGUUGUAUUUCCUUUCCGUGAUUAUCUUGUCGUUGUUCUAGUUGUUGUUGUUCUUUCUAUCCUAUGUUAUUUCUUACUGUUGCACUUAAUUAUACUGUUUUAUUCUACACUGUCGAACUUUAUAUUUUAUUUCACCUCAGUAGGGCCUUGACCUUUCUCAUCACUACCCGACCGAGUUUAGGCUUGGCACUUAUGGAGUACCGUACUCAUGCCCUUUCUUCGCAUGUUUUUCAUAUGUAGAUCCAUAUACCUUGACUCAGUCCUAUCACCCUUGAGGCAAGGCGACUGUUCCAGAGACUUAGAGGUAUAUUUGUCGCUUCCGCAGACCGAGGAGUCUCUUUCUACUCUCCCUAUUGUAUUAGCC